Long non-coding RNA from Cervus hanglu yarkandensis (Yarkand deer), 1122 nucleotides. Lineage: Eukaryota; Metazoa; Chordata; Mammalia; Artiodactyla; Cervidae. The record is from Ensembl.
CCACGUCUUAGUGGGGUGGUCGUGCCUGCCAGUCACGGAGGCCGGGCGGCCAGGACGUGCGCAGAGUGAUAUGAUAUGGUCCGGCGUGAUGGAGAGAGUAGGUGGGACCGUCCAGCCUACCAGGUGAGUGCAGACACGGGCUGUGCCCCCCACCCCGGGCCCGCUGACCCACACUCAGCCUCACGGGCGCCUCUCUCCUGUAGAAUACUGUCAGCUGGCCCCGCGAGGAGUCGGGAUAUCUCUGUUCUUUUAGUCUCCUGAAGGAGCAAACACAGUACUGCUGCUCUUCAGACCCCCAGAACCCUCAAGAUGACAAGAAAUGGUGCUACCCAGCUCAUGCCUGGGACUUGGAACAUGGACUUCUUCAAGUCUUUCUAGCUCUGACUCGAGAAUAUGCUGCAUUUUGGAACCACUAUACACCUUAACUCAGGAAUCAGCUCUGGAAGGUUGAUCUAAAGGAACAGACGGCCCACACCACCGGAAGAGCAGCCCCCGCGGCGACACCCACCCUGGCCCGGCGACUCCAUCUCUGCGGCCAACCCCUGCCACAGCCCCAAGACCACCAACAGCCUCCCUCCCUCCUUUUCCUCCUUUUCUGUCUCUAUUUUCUGAUCUUCUCUCUGCUAUCCUUUGCUCAGGAGACUCAGAGCGUUCAGAGCCCCGUUCUCCCCGUCCCUCUUGAAUUAAUUUGCACUAAAAGUCGUUUGCACUGGUUGGGGUUCUGGAGCCAGCCCUGGUCUCUGAGCGUGUGUAAGCGCGUGUGUGUGCCCACUGCUGAAUGUGUAGGCCUCCUCGGCCCGUGCCCCCCACCCAGCACCCCGCCCACCCUCGGGGGUGUCUGGGAGGGGGCCCGACUGGGGGGCCCGAGUGUGAGGGGCCCCGCCUUCCCACACCUAGUCUGGAGGCUCCAAACAUCAGGAGCACACCAAGCAUUUCAUUGUGUGUCCAUCUCGCUCAUGUCCCUCCCUGCCAGGGCCUCCCCAGAAGCCCUGGAUUCAUCAAUAAACUCAGUUACAGGAAUUUGUCUCAGGACUCUUGCAUUUGAGAUGAACGGGGAGGGGGCUGGGGGGAAAAUGGGGCGAGGGAACACGAGAAGGCAAUCGGGCCGCAAGGGGCCAGACA